GACAGAAUGCAAGUCAUCCACGGAACAUCCCGCACGACUCAUAAUCGUGAGGUCGCGGGUUCAAGCCCCGCUCCUGCUA
This 79-nucleotide transfer RNA is filed under the name Microbacterium maritypicum. RNAcentral's name for it is "Microbacterium liquefaciens tRNA-Met". Lineage: Bacteria; Bacillati; Actinomycetota; Actinomycetes; Micrococcales; Microbacteriaceae. The record is from RNAcentral.